RNAcentral lists this transfer-messenger RNA (348 nucleotides) under Mariprofundales. Its description in RNAcentral is "J009 sp003696765 Standard tmRNA". It matches the Rfam family "transfer-messenger RNA". From Rfam's summary of the family: Bacterial tmRNA, also known as 10Sa RNA or SsrA, is named for its dual tRNA and mRNA-like properties. Its role is to liberate the mRNA from a stalled ribosome. The record is from RNAcentral. RNAcentral also lists the same sequence under 1 other name. Lineage: Bacteria; Pseudomonadati; Pseudomonadota; Candidatius Mariprofundia.
GGGGGCGACCGGUCUCGACGGAGAUGCUGCAGCCCGUGGUGCAUGCCGGGUUGGUGAUCCCGUAAAAAACACCGACGGCAAAUAACUGCCAACGACGACGUAGAACUGGCUUACGCUGCGUAAGUCACCCCGCCCUUGAGGUCGCCCGUCGCCUCGGGGAGCGGGGCCAUCAAGACGGGAUCGCCCGUGCGCUGGUGAUUCGUGGCGUGCGGGUCAAACCUGAACGAAUCGACCCGGCGGGCACCUUGGCCGUUCGGUUUCCGUCGGGUGCUGUGAGAACGGCCUAAGCAUGUAGAGCCAUUGGUGAAUGGUUUCCGGACGCGGGUUCGAUUCCCGCCGCCUCCACCA